Halichondria panicea is the source of this 913-nucleotide long non-coding RNA. RefSeq lists it as uncharacterized. NCBI's taxonomy places the organism in Eukaryota, Metazoa, Porifera, Demospongiae, Suberitida, Halichondriidae. The record is from RefSeq and is a predicted model, not a curated record. The transcript is spliced from 4 exons.
CACACGUACACACACACAUCUGACAACAUUGUCUAUAACAAGUAAGAUACACAGAGUAGAUCUAGAUCAGUCAUGUCAUGCAGGAUUAUUAAACUCUCGGCCCACCGCUGUUUCACGCAAUGUAAAUUGCACCACUUAGUUUAUCCCGGAAGUAGUACAAGAUAACACAUUCCUUAGUAUUCAUGUACCAUGACCAACAGGAAGCUCACGUAAUGCAAGUUACUUGUGGCUUCCUACUGGACAUGACGUCAAAACAGAGGAAACAAAUCACGUGGAAAGAAAGCCCUUGCUUUUAGCUAUCCAUUAGUCCAAGGUACACCAAAGUUGAGUAAUGUGUCGCAGACUUACAAGACUUUUAACAGAACCAGAUCAAGAACAUGAUUGUGUGCACCUCAUACACAAGCAGCGCUCUAGUCCUAAGGAACAUUCUUGAAGUGAGAAUUUGUGUACAAACACAGGGAAAUGAUGUCUACUUCUGAAUAAAAAGUAAGCCUUAACAUAAUUAUUUGAUAUUUGUGUUGUCUUCUUUGUUUUAAGAGGUGGUGGUCUGGCAGCAACUUUGGCUGGUGCCAGAUGGAGAUAAUAUUUGGCCAUUAUACAUACAUUUCAGGCGGUCAAUUUCAUUCGGAAUUGCAUGCCUGCAUGUCCUCUUCUCUAGCAUCACUGUGCAAUUUUGGGAGAAUGGGAAGUGCAUGCUCUUCAGAAGACGUCAUUGUUACUUCUCUCUGGAAGAAGGCUUUGGAAUUGCUCUAUGUGUGUGAUUAUGGCCUGUGGUCUGUCUGGCUAUUGAUAGCUGAAGUCUUUUCUUCAGCUUUUCAAGGGGCCCCACAUACUUGACACAGACCAGAAUAUGCUGCUGACAAUGGUCACACCUUCAUUUACAAUGUUUGUACUUUUAAGAGCAUGUUUUGUA